Molecule: ribosomal RNA, 428 nt
Filed under: uncultured bacterium
Lineage: Bacteria
Description: partial 16S ribosomal RNA
Rfam family: Bacterial small subunit ribosomal RNA
Source: RNAcentral
GUGGGGAAUAUUGGGCAAUGGGCGCAAGCCUGACCCAGCAACGCCGCGUGAAGGAAGAAGGCUUUCGGGUUGUAAACUUCUUUUACCAGGGACGAAACAAAUGACGGUACCUGGUGAAUAAGCCACGGCUAACUACGUGCCAGCAGCCGCGGUAAUACGUAGGUGGCGAGCGUUAUCCGGAUUUAUUGGGUGUAAAGGGCGUGUAGGCGGGACAGCAAGUCAGAUGUGAAAACCAGAGGCUCAACCUCUGGCCUGCAUUUGAAACUGUUGUUCUUGAGUGUCGGAGAGGUAAUCGGAAUUCCGUGUGUAGCGGUGAAAUGCGUAGAUAUACGGAGGAACACCAGUGGCGAAGGCGGAUUGCUGGACGAUAACUGACGCUGAGGCGCGAAAGCGUGGGGAGCAAACAGGAUUAGAUACCCCGGUAGUCC